Molecule: long non-coding RNA, 2061 nt
Organism: Dreissena polymorpha
Lineage: Eukaryota; Metazoa; Mollusca; Bivalvia; Myida; Dreissenidae
Exons: 2
Source: RefSeq, a predicted model, not a curated record
UUGCGCGAAAUUUUAUGGCAUUUUUUUAUUGGUCAAUAGCGAAAUGACGUUAUAUUUUUUCGCGAACUUCAAAGAUAUAUACCCAUUUGACGGAGAUGAAACCGAAACUGAAAAUAGAUUCAUAGACUAGAUUAAAAAGAACUUGUAUGACCCUUACCACGAUAGAAUUUCAGCUUAAAGAUCAUUUUGUGUUGUAAUUACGCCAGCGUUUAUGCAAAUUAGGCAUAAUUUUCCCGACAGUUCAUACACCGAUGAAAUGCAGAAAAAUGCUAUUCAAUUCUUAAGUAAAUUUUGACAUAAUUUAGGUCUUUUCCCCACCUAAUGGGAACUUAUUGGAGCAAGCUUCUGUUUUUUAAGUGACUAAUUUUAUACCUCGUCAUAAGCAUGCAGUUAAGAUAUGCAAGACACAAUUUUCAUUUGAAUUUAUUUACACAUCCCAAUCUUCUGCUCUUAUUCCUCACUGAGUCAGUCAAUUUCAUCCCAGUCAAAACUGUCUCUCGGGUAUUUUUAGUGACUGGUGACAAAGCUUUAUCAAUAGAUAUGCAAAUGAGCCUAAAAUGUCACUUAAAUUCUGCUUUAUUUUGCCUUUUCUGGAAAGUGCUGUAUUUUUGUUUGAUAUUGCAAUGUUAAAUGCCUUCUGAUGCUUGUUUUUUAUAUUUUGUUAGCUCACCUGAGCACAUUGUUUAAAGGUCAAAAAUGGCCAUAAAUGAGCUUGUUCGGGCCAUAACUUUGUCAUUCAUUGUGAGAUUUUAAAAUCAUUUGGCACAUUUGUUCACCAUUAUUGGACGGUGUGUCGCGCGAAAGAAUUACGUCAAUAACUCCAAGGUCAAGGUCACACUGGCCAUAAAGGAGCUUGUCCAGGCCAUAAUUAUGUCUUAUAUUGUGAGAUUUUAAAAUCAUUUGGCACAUUUGUUCACAACCAUUAGACGGUGUGUCAUGCGAAAGAAUAAUGUCGAUGUCUGCAACGUCAAGGUUACACUUGAGUUCAAAGGUCAAAAAUGGCCAUAAACUUGUCCGGGCCAUAACUAUGUCAUUCAUUGUGAGAUUUAAAAUUACUCUGUAUAUUUGUUCACAAUCAUUAGACGGUGUGUCGCGCGAAUAAAUUAUGUCAAUAACUCCAAGGUCAAAAGUAACACUUUGAGUUCAAAGGUCAAAAAUGGCCAUAAAUGAGCUUGUGCGGGCCAUAACUAUGUAAUUCAUUGUGAGAUUUUAAAAUCAUUUGGCCUAUUUGUUCACCAUUAUUGGAAGGUGUGUCAUGCGAAAGAAUAAUGUCAAUAUCUGCAACGUCAAGGUCACACUUUGAGUUCGAAGGUCAAAAAUGGCCAUAAAUGAUCUUAUCUGGGGCCAUAACUGUCAUUCAUUGUGAGAGUUUUAAAUUACUCGGUACAUUUGUUCACAAUCAUUAGACGGUGUGGCGCGCGAAAGAAUAACGUGAAUUACUUCCAGGUCAAAGUUACACUUUGAGUUCAAAGUUCAAAAAGGGCCAUAAAUGAGCUUGUCCGGGCCAUAACUAUUUCAUUCAUUGUUAGAUUUUAAAAUCAUUUGGCCUAUUUGUUCACCAUUAUUGGAAGGUGUGUCAUGCGCAAAAAUAAGGUCUAUAUCUCCAAGGUCAAGGUCACACUUUGAGUUCGAAGGUCAAAAAUGGCCAUAAAUGAGCUUGUCCGGGUCAUAACUAUGUCAUUCAUUGUGAGAUUUUUAAAUCAUUUGGCACAUUUGUUCACAAUCAUUGGAUGGUGUGUCAUGCGAAAGAAUUAUGUCGAUAUCUGCAAGGUCAAACUGUGAGUUCAAAGGUCAAAAAUGGCCAUUAAUGAUAUUGUCUGGGCCAUAACUAUGUCAUUCAUUGUGAGAUUUUAAAAUUAUUCUGUACAUUUGUUCACAAUCAUUAGACAGUGUGUCAUGAGAAAGAAUUACGUCGAUAUCUCCAAGGUCAAGGUCACACUUGGAGUUCAAAAGUAAAAAAUGGCCAUAAAUGAGCUUGUCCGGGCCAUAACUAUGUCAAUCAUUGUGAGAUUUUAAAAUUUCUCGGUACACGUCUUUGACAAAGCUCUAAUUAUAAAUAUA